UCCAUCCGCCGAAAUACUGCAGCACCAAUCGGCCGAUCUUCAACUCUAGCACCAAUCGGCCGAUUCCCAAUCGUGACCUCCGUGUUUUGCCGCAUCUCCUGAUUUCUUCCCUUCUUGACGCCGAUUUCAUACGUGUCAAAAUCUGGCGUCAACACAUGCCCCCCAGUUUCGGAGUAAAACAUAAUCUUUACUUCGAAAUUCCUUUCAACUUCCCUUCCGAAACAAACGCA
This 230-nucleotide long non-coding RNA is filed under the name Setaria viridis. RNAcentral describes it as "long non-coding RNA (SVIR_LNC008623)". The record is from RNAcentral. Lineage: Eukaryota; Viridiplantae; Streptophyta; Magnoliopsida; Poales; Poaceae.